This 2732-nucleotide unclassified non-coding RNA is filed under the name Monomorium pharaonis (pharaoh ant). Its description in RNAcentral is "ras-related protein Rab-9B, transcript variant X1". The record is from RNAcentral. Lineage: Eukaryota; Metazoa; Arthropoda; Insecta; Hymenoptera; Formicidae.
AGCGCAGUCGAGUGCGGACGGACAGACGGAGCGCGAUGUGUGCGUGAGUGUAUGCGUGAGUGUAUGCCGCGGGCUCGAAAUCGGAGCACAGCACGUGGUCGAACGCCAGGGACGACGUAGCGUAAGAGGAAUCGGGAAAUCGGAAAGUAAUCGACAACGAAAAUUGGAAAUGAUAAAAUCCGAUUGCCAUUUAAUAAAUCCUCGUAAGAUUGCAGAUUACACGAAGAGAAAUAUUCAGUCAAAUUAAGAAGGAUAAUUAGAUUUCAUAAGAUUUUUCGAUUUAUUUUAUUUGCUUUUGUUUUUUUCUUCUAACACUUCUAAACCCGAAAUAUUUUAUAUCGCGCAUCUUGAUAUUUACGGAACUGUGACAGUUGAGGAUUUAAAGAAUUAAAGGGAUGAUUGAGACUUUAACGAAUUAAAUAGCAGCUGAUCGCGUAACUUUCGAAUCAAAACGACCGAAGCGCGGUCCUAAAAUUUUUCUUUUCCGUCAACAUCAUUCGUCUAUCCCCGUCCUGGUCAGCGAUAUGCGCCGCGUCCAUAAAUAUUCUCAAAUCUGUGACGGCGGCUGGUAUUAUUUAUAGCCGCGAGUGGCCAUGUCGCGAGAGAACCACCUCGCCUGACGAUCCCGCCCUACCCCUUGAGUAAGUCGAUCGUCCGUGAGAGUCGGGCGUUCCUUCGGUCGUGUCGUCUGCAAUGUGCCCAGGCCGAGGCGUUCGGCCGCUGGAAAAUGAUCGAGAGCCGUAGGUGUCUAUCGAUCAUCGAGUAGUGCUGAAACUGCCCUGCUGCCGCCGGAGGGAAAUCGACGCGCGCGAUCGUGAUCGCCGUCGGAGAUCAACGGAAAUGCGUCGCCCCUGCUGACGAGCGCGUCGCGCUGACAUCCGCCGCCCCGUCUCACGCGACAACAAAGGACGUGUUCCUCGCGUCCUGCCCCGAGCCCCGAGCGCGACAGUUGAAUCCAAGUCCACGAGGGUGGAUGCGGCGAAUCCGUCCGUUCGUCGGAGACUUCGAAAUUUCGAGAGAUCUAUGAGAGAGGGAUUCGCGCCGAUCGAGCCGCGUAACUGUAAGGUUAUGCAGCGAAGUUGCUGGAGAAUAAAGACGUCAAGAUACUCUAUGCACUAGCUAAUACUUGAUGCGAACGAGAGAAAGAGAGAGAGAACGAGAGAGAGAGAGAGAGAGAGAGAGAAAGCGAAUGAGAAAGAGAAACGAGAGGAGAGAAGGAGAAAUCAGAUAAUACGCUAGGACGCAUAAUGUUUCGAUACGUGAUUCGGCAAACUUCGAAAGACUGAAGUGCGAGAUCCCCAGAUCAGCUGAUCAGAGGUUUGACUAGGCUUGAAUGAAUGUUUUUGGAGUAGAUACAUUGAGGAUAGUUGCCAAACGAGACACCGUCCGCGCGUGUUAAUACACGUAAUAAGAUAAACGUUAAGUUACCGCAAGGAGAAUAAACAAAUAGGUUAACUCAAGUUAAAAAAAAAAUGUCGGUGAGCAACUCGACGUCGUUGAGUACCAGCAGGGGCGGCAGUAGCCUUCAGAAUCGAAACUCGCAGAGAUCCACCCUUCUGAAAGUGGUGAUCCUCGGGGACGGUGGUGUUGGUAAGUCCUGCCUCAUGAACAGAUUCGUGUCGAAUCACUUCGACGAGCACAGCUUCCACACGAUCGGGGUGGAGUUUCUUAACAAGGACAUCGAGAUCAACGGCGAGGCGUACACGCUGCAGAUAUGGGACACCGCUGGCCAAGAGAGGUUCAAGACCCUCAGAACGCCGUUCUACCGAGGUUCGGACAUUUGCCUGCUCACCUACGCGGUAGACGAUAGGACAAGUUUCAGGAAUCUGGCGCUAUGGAGGUCCGAAUUUCUCAAAUACGCGGACGUUCAGGAGGGCUCUACUUUUCCGUUCAUCGUUGUUGGCAAUAAGGUAGACGUUCCCGAGUCCGAGAGGCAAGUUCCCAUGGAAGAGGCUCAAGCUUGGUGUUCGGAAAAUGGUAAUCCUCCAUUAGUUGAAACAUCGGCAAAAGACGCCACUAAUGUUGAGGCAGCUUUUGGGGCGGCGGUUGACGCAUGGGCGCGGCUGGAAGCUAGAUUAGAGCGGCCUUUAGUGGAAGAUACUGUCGAUCUCUCUAAACAACAGUCCCAGCAUCGUACGAGCUGCUGCAUGCCCGUUUCUGGCACCGAAUCCACAUUUGUGACCAGAUAAUCGAAAUGGGCGGUAAGAAGAUAGACAGCACACACAACACACAGUCUUUAUGUGAUGCAAAUUGACAUUUCUGGAAUAAUCGCUUAAAGUUUUCUUUAUGUUUGGAAGGGACACACAAAACGUCGCACUAUUGAAUUCGUAUAAAACGGUGCUUGUUCUAUUUCUAGGAUCUAUAAGGAUACACGUUAGAACUGUCUAACAAAAUAAUUUGAAGAGAAUCUCUCUUGCCUGUCUGCAAUACUCUCUUCAUUAUACGAUGAACUUUAUUUAUUGACACUGGAAUUGCAUCGGUUGUGUGUAAAUAGGCUAUACUGUUUGAAAUUUUUUACUUAAGACACCAGUUAAAAUAUUCAAAGAAUGUACGUGCGGAUCACAUAGAAUAUUAUUAGCAAUGAACGAACGCUUCUUUUACCAGCUUAUAUUCUCCUUUUUAUGAAUCUUAACGAAACACUCGAGUCACGGAGAUCGCAUAUAAGACAAAUAAUAUAUUGUGAUUGAUCUUUCCAAAAUACAACUUUAAAAUAUAAGAUCAGAUUAAACGUC